This 3847-nucleotide ribosomal RNA is filed under the name Triticum aestivum (bread wheat). Its description in RNAcentral is "partial small subunit ribosomal RNA". The record is from RNAcentral. Lineage: Eukaryota; Viridiplantae; Streptophyta; Magnoliopsida; Poales; Poaceae.
ACUACUUAACGUUAGUCGACAGGGGGAACGACGACGACGUAGAUGACUUCCAGACCUCGAUGGUUAUAGACCGGAACGUAGUCGACAGGGGGAACGACGACGACGUAGAUGACUUCCAGACCUCGAUGGUUAUAGACCGGAACGUAGUCAUCUUUGUUCGAACGACCAAAGAAACAGUAAACAACUACUACCUUGUUGUAGUUCGAGUUCCAGUGGAAGGUCGGGCGACAAUCUACCUAGGACUUGUGGUAGGAACAGAAGAGGACUGCGACAUCCCAGACGUAGUCGAAAGAAGACAAAAAAACGUAAUCCCCACGGUAGUAGGAGUCCUAGUAGCAAAGGACGUGGUCCCAGACGCCCUAGACUUAGAAAGGAACCAGAGAAGGUGAAAAAGCAUCUACUACACGGUAGUAGGAGUUUUAGAAGGAGGAGAGAUGGGGACACGUCUAUCCAGGUGUUAAAAAACAGUAAUAGUAUGUCGUGUGUUCCUAGUGCGAGUAUUACGUUCGCUAGUUCUCGCGGUGACUGUUGAACUAAUUGUCGUCGGAGAAAUAACCUAAGACGUACUAAAUCCAUGACACUUAGAAACUCUUCACACGUUUGUAGUCGAGAACAAGGUCAAGAAGGUCCGUUGGAUCUUCGUCGUAGAGAAUGUUCUGUCUCUUAUCACUGUACGCCUCCCGCUAGUCCGUUCUCGUACCCUACAGGGGAUCGAAAACUGCACCCGAAAGGUGGAGGGGAAGCGUUUCCUCGUUGUUAUCUAAAGAGGGGUAGUCGUCGUCAUAUCGUUUUACGAGAUAGUCCUUAACUCAUAGAGUUUUUGAGGAGUGCGACCUUUAUACGGGAACGAAGUAGUCUCGAACCCGAAUAACACAAGUCUGAGAAGACCCGGGAUUCCAGGAAUUUAGAAAGGAAGUUUAGGUUCAAACGUCCUAAACCACGACCUCCACCACCUUCCCUAGGAUAAACGAAUUCCCAAAGGACUGGUGAAAAGUCGGUUAAUCGUUUACGUAGCUGGUUGAAGUGUUCGUAGAACACACCAUAUGGGGUACGGAGUCGUCUUCAAAGAAGUAAUCCUAGUGAUAUACUCCAUCGUCUUCCGUCACCUGGUUGGGUCUUGGUCGAAAACAAGCUGAACAGUAUCCGUUGAUCGCGAGAGGUCGGGAAACGUGGAUCUCCUCGACAAGAUCUACUGUCAUGGAACUCGUGAGGAGCUUGAUUUAGGACGUCCCCAAGGACACAAAGUUCAUACAACCCUAGAGGUCCUAAUCAAAAUUAGGCCAAUUGUUCUAGAACUUGUCAAUCACGGCCGCUUAACGAGACACGCCAGACGAGACGUCGUGACCAUAGAGGUUGAAGUAACGGGCCAACACGAACGAGACGACGUGAACCGAGAACUCCGCAAAACGGUCCAAGGAGUGAUAACUUGGUAAAAGACAAGAGGAGGGGUAGUCAGACGAAGCGACGGUGACCUCAUUGGAGUCAUCCUCACUGGCAUCGACGGUGACCUCAUUGGAGUCGUCCUCACUGGCAUCGACGGUGACCUCAUAGGAGUCGGCCUCGUUGGUAUCGGAAGAAUUGUCGCCAAUCUUCUACAUGCUACCUCUUUCUUUUCGGUCAUACCUACCAACCACAUUAACCAUGUAUGAAGAAGAAUCCAAAGAGUCCAAGAUGACCGUGGUGUUAUUGGAGGCCGUGCUGUCCUCGACCAAGACGAUGUCAUUAACGUAGACAUUGUCAUAGACCGAAGAAAAAUGAAAAGAAGAAGCUCGACGGUGACUAAAGAUGGUGGAAACCUGGUCUACCGCGUAUGAGUGGUACGAGUAGGUCCGAACAUUCAAGUUGAGAAGGAAAAACGGAAAACCUCGGUCUCGACGUUGAACGCUCGCCGUACAAGCGAGAAAGUCUUUGUAGUUUCAGCGGUAAUCUUAGAACCUGACGUAUCGGACGAGAUGACCGGUCGGAUAGUGAGAGACCACUGGAGUCACUAAGUAACCGAAAGAGCAACGAUAGUACGUUAAGUCUCAACAGUAUUGGUACGUACAGGUCCAAACGUUAAGGGAACGCGAAAGAAAGUGAUGAACGACGACCCCCAGAGUAGUGAAGUGAUUAGACAAGGCGGUGGAGGUGUACGUGUAGCGCAUUUAUUAGUCCGAGACGUUGGAAAGGAGACACACUGGCGAACGAGACUCAGACCAUCCCAAGGUUUAGACGUCAUCCCCGUCCUAUUAAACAAAACUGACUAAACGAUUCAAACAAACUGAAAAACCGUGGUAUACGACCAUAUACUUCAAGUCUUAUAACUUCCAAACCGACAAGAAGUUGUUCUAAGUAUAGACGGGGUAGAAGUUUGGCAAGACUACUUAGUCUAAGACAGAGGAGUGAGACUUGUACCCGUCGAAACGAGGACCUCAGGAAGACCGGUUAGGAUGGUACGACUGAUAACCUAAAUUGUAAUUAGAAUUGGACACUAUAGGACGGAGAUCCUAGUCUAGGUCUUACACGUGGUAAAUAGACGACAAGUUAUGAAAACAUCCUGAAUUGGAAGUGUGGUACUGGUUGAACUCCGAAGGACGAGGACAUUAGCGGAAGUCCGACGGGAGAGACGGUCAGUGAAUUCUCUAGUCGUACCGAUGGUCGACCGGUUAGGGAGCGAAGGUGAAACCCUCGAAAUAAGACCCGUCGAAAAGGUGGCAUAUAGGCUAGAGAGAGGCUCAUAAAACGUGAGGAACGUAAGAGUCUUAUACCUCCGAGUUUACUACGACGAUUCCAUUGAGGGACUAAUGGUUACCGUAAGGACGGUACCAUCAUUCUUCUUGGUCAGACCGAUAGUACCAUCAACAAAGGUAUUCCUAACUAUAGUAUCGGGCACCGGUUAAGGAAGAAGUGACCGAAGUAGUCUCCAGAGACUCUGGCCUAGGACCCGUUUAAGGACAGUAUAGGGUCCAGGAGUCUUACUUCCGGUAGAUACGAAGACACGACGAAGGGAGAUACGCGCUGAGGCCGUAGUAUGGGUAUUCGUAAUAGACCUGCUCUUUCGAAUCCCUCUCGGUGACGUCGUAGUGCUGGUCGGGGAGGUUACAUGAGGAGUGGGUGCCGAAAACUGUGUGGGUUGGCGUCUUGCGGGAACCUGGAAAGGAAGGGAUUUAAGGGUCGGAACAACUCUCGGUAGAAUAGACCGAAGCUGGCACAGUUCUUGACAAGGCGUCUGAGGGACGAGAGACUCAGUCAGAGACUAGGUCGGGCCCGUUGGUUUGGGUCAAGGAAGACGAAGGCGACACGGAAGUAACGUAGGUAUCGAGACUCGGAGAGUGGUUCCGACAUGGGCAACGUCGAGAAGGUCGUCAGGAACCACAGGGUGUCGGGGUCGUGGUAGCUUAACACCAUGGAGACGUGUACCAUCAUCACGAACGCGGCGAGGCGUUUCGCCGACGGCGCCGCCAUGUCCUGUUAGGACCCCAGCGUCUCCGGCGGGAACUCCGCCAGGUUGUCCCGCCGGUCCCCCGAGGGCUUCACCUUCAACAGGGGGGACUCCUCGAGCUGCUCGCACGCCCGCUUACAGAGGACCAGGUCCAGCCCGUCCUUCCGCCGCUCCGCCUCGGCCAGCAGGAGCCUCUCGUCCGGCAAGGUCCGCAGGUCGCUCUAGUGCGGCGGCUCCAGCCCCUCCAGCAUCUCGAGGUCGCCGUCCCGUUGCGAGACCAGGGGCUGGACUGUGUAGAGGCGGGGGCCGAGGGGCUCGACGCACUAGAGGUCGAGCAGUCUGGGGUAGGGUCUCAGCAGGAGGAGGAGGAGACGGAGGAGGCGGAGGACGAGGAGGAGGAGGACCGGCGGCGCUAAGACGAGGAGC